This 386-nucleotide unclassified non-coding RNA is filed under the name uncultured Planctomycetia bacterium. Its description in RNAcentral is "contains 16S-23S intergenic spacer region". Lineage: Bacteria; Pseudomonadati; Planctomycetota; Planctomycetia. The record is from RNAcentral.
UCCGGCUUAACACCGGCAGUCUCCUUAGAGUUCCCGGCAUAACCCGCUGGUAACUAAGGACAAGGGUUUCGCUCGUUAAGGGACUUAACCCGACAUCUCACAACACGAGCUGACGACAGCCAUGCAGCACCUGUGUACGUUCCGCUCUUGCGAGUGUCACUGACGUUUCCGCCAGCUAAUCCGUACAUGUCAAGCCUAGGAUAAGGUUCUUCGCGUAGCCUCGAAUUAAGCCACAUGCUCCACCGCUGGUGUGAGCCCCCGUCAAUUCCUUUGAGUUUCAGCCUUGCGACCAUACUCCCCAGGCGGGGUACUAAACACUUUCGCUUCGGCAGAAGGUGCCAUCGGAACACUUUCUACCCAGUACCCAUCGUUUACGGCUAGGACUA